AUUGAACGCUGGCGGCAUGCCUUACACAUGCAAGUCGAACGGUAACGGGCCUUCGGGUGCCGUCGAGUGGCGAACGGGUGAGUAAUACAUCGGAACGUGCCCGAUCGUGGGGGAUAACGAGGCGAAAGCUUUGCUAAUACCGCAUACGAUCUACGGAUGAAAGCAGGGGACCGCAAGGCCUUGCGCGGACGGAGCGGCCGAUGGCAGAUUAGGUAGUUGGUGGGAUAAAAGCUUACCAAGCCGACGAUCUGUAGCUGGUCUGAGAGGAUGAUCAGCCACACUGGGACUGAGACACGGCCCAGACUCCUACGGGAGGCAGCAGUGGGGAAUUUUGGACAAUGGGCGCAAGCCUGAUCCAGCCAUGCCGCGUGCAGGAUGAAGGCCUUCGGGUUGUAAACUGCUUUUGUACGGAACGAAAAGCCUUCUUUUAAUACAGGAGGGUCAUGACGGUACCGUAAGAAUAAGCACCGGCUAACUACGUG
This 482-nucleotide ribosomal RNA is filed under the name uncultured bacterium. RNAcentral describes it as "partial 16S ribosomal RNA". It matches the Rfam family "Bacterial small subunit ribosomal RNA", at positions 30 to 507 of the family's 1533-position model. The record is from RNAcentral.